CGGCACGGGUGAGUAACACGUAUGGAACCUGCCCUAUGCAGGGGGAUAAGCGGAAGAAAUUCCGUCUAAUACCGCAUAACACCUUUAGGAGACAUCUUCUUGGGGUCAAAGGAGGCGACUCCGGCAUAGGAUGGCCAUGCGUCGCAUUAGCUAGUCGGCGGGGUAACGGCCCACCGAGGCGACGAUGCGUAGGGGUUCUGAGAGGAAGGUCCCCCACACUGGUACUGAGACACGGACCAGACUCCUACGGAAGGCAGCAG
RNAcentral lists this ribosomal RNA (260 nucleotides) under uncultured bacterium. RNAcentral's name for it is "partial 16S ribosomal RNA". It matches the Rfam family "Bacterial small subunit ribosomal RNA", at positions 98 to 354 of the family's 1533-position model. The record is from RNAcentral.